Molecule: long non-coding RNA, 2910 nt
Filed under: Brassica napus (rape)
Lineage: Eukaryota; Viridiplantae; Streptophyta; Magnoliopsida; Brassicales; Brassicaceae
Description: long non-coding RNA (BNAP_LNC025098)
Source: RNAcentral
AACAGUCAGCUAAGUGGCUCUCUAAGCUCCUUGAGAAAGCUCCUAUUCAGUCCAAGGUUGAUUUGGAAUCAAGGAAGGAGUUAUAAAUGAUCGGAGAAGAAACUAUAAUAUCUCUGUUUAACCGUUCAUAUUAUGUAAUGUGUGUGUUCCUUUGUAUCCCCUAAAGAGUUUAAGCCACAGUAUAUGUAGUUAAUCAAUAAAUAAAGAAGAACCUUGUGUCACGCGUUAGCUAGCAAAGAACAAGUUGCUUACGUAAGUUGUGUUCUUUUAUAUCUUUAAAAGAGUGUAAGCCAAUGAUAUAUGUAGUUAUGUAAUAGUAAUCAGUAAUCUUGUGUUACACGUUAGGUCUGAAAAGGAAUAACUUAAUCAGUAAUCUAGUGUUACACGUUAGGUCUGAAAAGAAACAUCUUAUGUACAGUAAAACUUCUAUAAAUUAAUAAUGUUGGGACUACACCAAAACUAUAUUUUUUUAUUAAUUUAUAGAGAUAUUAAUUUAUCGAUAUACUAAUUGAACCAAAAACUCAAUUUGAGACUACAAAAUUAUAUUAUUUUAUAGAGAUUUUUAGUGUAUAUUAAUUUAUAGAGUAUUAAUUUAAAGAGGUUAUAUUGUAUUUGUGUUCUUUUAUAUCAUCAAAAGAGUGUAAGCAAAUGAUAUUAAGUAGUUAUCAGUAAUCAAUAAAAAAUAAGAACCUUGUGUCACAUGUUGUUACAUUACAGUUAUGUCUAAAUCAAAUCCCAAAGAAACCACAAAUCUUCACCGUUUAAAAGGCCUUUCAAACCUCUGAGACUUAUGAACCUUCAUCUUCACCAAAGGAGCUUUCCUCGCCAAAGCUUUCCAAAUCAUCUGAACUCCAUAAUCUCCACCAUCAUCUUUAGACGGGAAACGCAAAUCAAAGUACCUCUCAACUUCUUUCAACCGCCGCCACAUUUUAUUCCACUCUUCUCUCCCAAUACUCCUCACAAGACCCAUUAGAAAACCUUUCUUUAAAGCGUAUGAUGAUUGGACAAAGAGACAGAACUCGUUGUAGUUAAAAACAUCCUCGUAAGGUAACUCAAUGUCAUCGCUGAUGAUCACCGGAGUACAAUGACUAGCUAUGGCAUCAAAGUGGCGGUUCGAAGAUGGAGUAUCUCCAGCUAUGUUAAGAGAAAACUUCGACGAUCUCAUUCCUUCUCCAGCUUUAGUUAUGCCGUGGUUUCUUACUCUACCAAAGGAGAAGUGGACGUGUUUUUCUUCUUUCAAAAGGUCAUAUAGUUCAUGUCUCACGAAUCCACCCUAUAAGAUUGUUACUCAAAGCAGUAAUUUAGAUUUGUAAUGUUCAUAGUGAUUUUAUAUAAAUAGAAUUUUGUUGAUUCUGGAACUGACUUAAAUCUUAGUACACCAGUAAAAAUAUACUGAGAGUGAGAAUGAAGACAUAAUCAGGAAAAAAAAAGACGAGCUUUAUUACUAAACGACACUCUCUUGUCUUUAAUUUUUUUAAUUUGCUCCACUUUAAUUCUAUAUUUACAUAGCUGCCAUUAUUAUUAUUUUACAUUUUAAGUUACUUUUUAAAUCGAUAUACACAAGCUAUACUUUAAUUAUUCUUAGACUUCUAAAAAAAGAAUAACAUGCAACGGUUUUGAAAAAGUAAACAUGAAUCCUAUGAUGCAACGAAAAAUAAUAUGGUAAAAUCACCAAAUUUGAUUUGCAUAUUAUAAUGUAACUAAGUAGGCCUACAAUACGUUGGGCCAUGAAAAAGGCCCAUAAGUAAUAGUCUAUUGGUUCUUAACAAAACAGAAAUUAGAAGGCCCACAACUCUUGCAAUACUUUCUAACAAACGAAGGAAAAUAAAAACUUACAAAUUCAGAAUAGACAUAAAAUAUGUGGGAGGCUACAUACGCAAAAGGUUAAUACUCUUAGACAACAACAAAAAUCGUAAAAGGUAACAUAUAGAAUAGUAUAUAAAUAUUAGUGAUCCACAUGGUAGCCAAUGGGAAAAUGGGUGGAGUGAGUUUGAAAAAGAUCCAUAUGCUAAGUCUCAAAUAUAUGUUUUCUUCUUUAAGUUCAGAAUUCAAGAACUAACCAAACAUGCGUCUCCUACUCAGUGGUUAUAGUGGUCGGUGUUGUCGCUUAGUGGCUUUAUUUUAUUAUUAAUACGAUUAUUAGUAUAUAUAGUAAUAAUAUAGAAUAUUCUUCACUCGUUAUUAUAACUUUGAUUUUUUGGUUCAAAGAUCAAAAACAUCUCAUGGCAUUACAUGGAGCAGUCUGGUUAGUUUUUUUUUUCUUGUUCUGCUCCUUCUCUAGUCGAUGGAUUUGGUGACAUAACCAUUUGCUUUUAUGUUGUUUUUUUUGUAGUGAGGAUAAGGUUAAUGUUAAAGGGUACUUUGUGUGGUCGCUUAUGGAUGGACUAGAGUGGGAAGAUGGAUACAAGACUAGGUCUGGACUCUACUAUGUAGACUAUGCUAACAACAUGGGAAGGCACGAGAAACAGUCAGCUAAGUGGCUCUCUAAGCUCCUUGAGAAAGCUCCUAUUCAGUCCAAGGUUGAUUUGGAAUCAAGGAAGGAGUUAUAAAUGAUCGGAGAAGAAACUAUAAUAUCUCUGUUUAACCGUUCAUAUUAUGUAAUGUGUGUGUUCCUUUGUAUCCCCUAAAGAGUUUAAGCCACAGUAUAUGUAGUUAAUCAAUAAAUAAAGAAGAACCUUGUGUCACGCGUUAGCUAGCAAAGAACAAGUUGCUUACGUAAGUUGUGUUCUUUUAUAUCUUUAAAAGAGUGUAAGCCAAUGAUAUAUGUAGUUAUGUAAUAGUAAUCAGUAAUCUUGUGUUACACGUUAGGUCUGAAAAGGAAUAACUUAAUCAGUAAUCUAGUGUUACACGUUAGGUCUGAAAAGAAACAUCUUAUGUACAGUAAAACUUCUAUAAAUUAAUAAUGUUGGG